Molecule: long non-coding RNA, 1124 nt
Filed under: Diabrotica virgifera virgifera (western corn rootworm)
Lineage: Eukaryota; Metazoa; Arthropoda; Insecta; Coleoptera; Chrysomelidae
Description: uncharacterized LOC126889859
Source: RNAcentral
CGCAACCCUAACAACACACAACAUUCCAGGAAUGUACUACCAAAGUUCUAUCAAUAUUUGAAUGUCCUGGACAUUUAGGGAACAUUCGGUGAACAUCUGUUUAAAAUAUUCCUGGAAUGUUACCAUAAGACAUUCUGUGAACAUACUACCAAUGUUCCUAUAUUUUAAGUUGCGAAAUAAUACAUACGUGUAAGAGAUACAACAUUACUUAUAACAUACCAGACAAACUAAGUGACAUUUUAGGCCUACAGUGCAAUAAUAUGUCAAAUUUAAAGAGUUUCCCAAGAUUAUAAACAUACAAAUGUAAUAAAAAUUAUUGUUCGCGAAUAUUCAAUUUGGAAUGCGAUUUUGUUAAUAAAAAAAUACUUAUAACUUAUGCAAAACCCAAGAGAGGCAUUUAUAUUUAUUUCUUUUGCGUUCAUUUUCAAAUUCGCCGUGCAUAUAUUUUUGUGCAUGGCGCUUGAGAGGGCAUCACGUGACUAAAAACGACCAACCAACGACCUCGCUUCGGCCAUCUUGGCAUCUUCAUCUUGGCGACCUUGCCUUGCCGUGGAUUGUUUUUAGUUGCUUGUAUUAUUUGUGCUUUUUAAGAAUAUUUUUUUAAUUCGGAUACUUUUAUAAUAGCUUUAAUAGUAUUAUUAACAUAGUGCAUAAAAUGGUGUCCUGUUUUUAACGCAGUUGGAGUAGCAGAAACAAAUGUAGAUAAAAAAAUCUGCAGGAAUAACGUUUCAAUUAUGACAGAAGCUCAAAACAAAUGACUGUGAAUGAAAAGCCCUAUUAAAAGCUUUCCAGAAGAUCCUGCGAAGAAGACAUGAAGUAUAGAUCAGAUUUGUUAAUAGAGGAGUAUGUUCAAAACACUUUUUAGAAAAAGAUAUUGACAGAACUUCACUUUCAUCUGUUCGUUUGAGAGACUGUGCUGUUCCAAUAGCUUAUGUCACACAGAAUCAGCUGAGAGAAGUGGUCUACAAAAAACCAGAAAGGAAACGGAAUAUGUGGCUACGAAAAGCAAAAGAAAGGUUUACAAAGCAAAUGUGACACAUUUUUUUAUAAUAUUUAGGAAUGUCAGCAAAUUACAUUAAAAAAAUGUAUAUAAAGAUUUUUUGCAAUAAAAAUGUUUAUAUUUA